Molecule: ribosomal RNA, 497 nt
Filed under: uncultured bacterium
Lineage: Bacteria
Description: partial 16S ribosomal RNA
Rfam family: Bacterial small subunit ribosomal RNA
Source: RNAcentral
GAUGAACGCUGGCGGCGUGCCUAAUACAUGCAAGUCGAGCGAACAGACGAGGAGCUUGCUCCUCUGACGUUAGCGGCGGACGGGUGAGUAACACGUGGAUAACCUACCUAUAAGACUGGGAUAACUUCGGGAAACCGGAGCUAAUACCGGAUAAUAUAUUGAACCGCAUGGUUCAAUAGUGAAAGACGGUUUUGCUGUCACUUAUAGAUGGAUCCGCGCCGCAUUAGCUAGUUGGUAAGGUAACGGCUUACCAAGGCAACGAUGCGUAGCCGACCUGGGAGGGUGAUCGGCCACACUGGAACUGAGACACGGUCCAGACUCCUACGGGGGGCAGCAGUAGGGAAUCUUCCGCAAUGGGCGGAAGCCUGACGGAGCAAAGCCGCGUGAGUGAUGAAGGUCUUCGGAUCGUAAAACUCUGUUAUUAGGGAAGAACAAAUGUGUAAGUAACUAUGCACGUCUUGACGGUACCUAAUCAGAAAGCCACGGCUAACUACGUG